CCUCCAUUGAUUUCAGGUGAGGUUAAAUCCAACAAAAUAUACCUUCGAAGUUACUAUCAAAAAGUUUUUGAGAUUCAUGAUCUCAUGAAGAGGCAUCGUGGUGAAUCUCGAGAAGAUCAGGGCAAUUCUUGAGAUGACUCCAUCGAAAAUAGUGGGGGAGGUGCAACAUCUCACUGGCAGGAUCGCUUCGCUCAAUCACUUCAUCUCCAGAU
This 212-nucleotide long non-coding RNA is filed under the name Elaeis guineensis (African oil palm). RNAcentral's name for it is "long non-coding RNA (EGUI_LNC046565)". Lineage: Eukaryota; Viridiplantae; Streptophyta; Magnoliopsida; Arecales; Arecaceae. The record is from RNAcentral.